GUGCGUGUGGCGAAGCGAUUAACGCGGCGGGCCGCAACCCCGUUACUCGUAGGUUUGAAUCCUACCGCGCACU
This 73-nucleotide transfer RNA is filed under the name Bacteroidales bacterium. RNAcentral's name for it is "tRNA-Cys". It matches the Rfam family "tRNA". From Rfam's summary of the family: Transfer RNA (tRNA) molecules are approximately 80 nucleotides in length. The record is from RNAcentral. Lineage: Bacteria; Pseudomonadati; Bacteroidota; Bacteroidia; Bacteroidales.